Molecule: ribosomal RNA, 417 nt
Filed under: Acinetobacter baumannii Naval-81
Lineage: Bacteria; Pseudomonadati; Pseudomonadota; Gammaproteobacteria; Moraxellales; Moraxellaceae
Description: bacterial SSU rRNA
Rfam family: Bacterial small subunit ribosomal RNA
Source: RNAcentral
AUUGAACGCUGGCGGCAGGCUUAACACAUGCAAGUCGAGCGGGGGAAGGUAGCUUGCUACCGGACCUAGCGGCGGACGGGUGAGUAAUGCUUAGGAAUCUGCCUAUUAGUGGGGGACAACAUCUCGAAAGGGAUGCUAAUACCGCAUACGUCCUACGGGAGAAAGCAGGGGAUCUUCGGACCUUGCGCUAAUAGAUGAGCCUAAGUCGGAUUAGCUAGUUGGUGGGGUAAAGGCCUACCAAGGCGACGAUCUGUAGCGGGUCUGAGAGGAUGAUCCGCCACACUGGGACUGAGACACGGCCCAGACUCCUACGGGAGGCAGCAGUGGGGAAUAUUGGACAAUGGGGGGAACCCUGAUCCAGCCAUGCCGCGUGUGUGAAGAAGGCCUUAUGGUUGUAAAGCACUUUAAGCGAGGAGG